AUGGCGACCACCGCCACCUUCCUACACCUCCUCGCCCCUCCGGGCCUCCGCCCCAAGCCCGUACUUCGGUCCCGCCUCCGCCGCCUCGCCCUGUCCGUCUCCCCCUCGGGCCCUGACGAGAUCCCCGCCGACGACCCGCCCGUGCUCCCCUCCAUCCUCGUCAAGAACACCGAGCCCGAGGACGUCGCGCGCCGCCGGAGCUGGGUCGAGCACGGGUGGGCGCCCUGGGAGGAGGCGAUGAGCCCCGAGGUCGCCUUCGCGCGCCACAGCCUGAACGAGGGCGAGGAGGUGCCGCUCACCUCGCCGGAGUCCGUCGAGGCGUUCCGCAUGCUCACCCCGGCGUACCGCGAGAAGGUGGAGUCCGAGCCGGGGUACCUCGAGCGCCUCUUCUCCAUGCGCGAGACGCCUGAGCCCCUCGAGACCUCGUGGGCCGGCCGGCUGCCGCUGCGGCUCGUCCCGCCGCGGGACUGGCCGCCGCCCGGCUGGGAGGUGGACCAGGACGAGCUGGCCUUCAUAAGGGAGGCUCACAGGGCGGCGUCGGAGCGGGUGGACAUGGAGGCGGCCGCCGCCAAGGGGGUGACCAACGUGGAGAAGGUGGAGGACGCGCCGCAGGAUCUGGCGCUGGAGCGGUACAAGGUGUUCCUGAAGCAGUACAAGGAGUGGGUGGAUACCAACAGGGACAGGCUGGAGGAGGAGUCCUACAAGUUUGAUCAGGAUUACUACCCUGGUAGACGAAAAAGAGGUAAGGACUACCGAGAAGAUAUGCUGGAACUUCCAUUCUUCUACCCUGGACAGAUAUGUUACGGUAAAGUGAUCUCUAUUCACCUCCAUCAAGGAGCUUUUGUGGACAUUGGUGGCACACAUGAUGGGUGGGUGCCAAUAAAAGGAAACGAUUGGUAUUGGAUCCGCCACCAUAUCAAACCUGGCAUGAAUGUCUAUGUGGAAAUUCUGGCCAAACGAGAUCCAUACCGGUUUCGUUUCCCACUUGAAAUGCGCCUUGUCUAUCCUAACAUUGAUCACCUAAUAUUUAAUAGGUUUGACUUCCCACCAAUAUUUCACCGAAAGGAGGAUACAAACGAAGAGCAGCUGUGGCGCGAAGGUGGAAGGCCGCCCAUUCCUAGGAAAAAGCCUUUGACAGACAUGGAAACAGAACCUUUGGUGUCAGACCACCCCUUUGUUGAAACGCUUUGGGAAUGGCAUAAUGCAGAGCAGAUGAUUUUAGACCACGAGGAUGAAAAUCCAGAUAAAUUCAAGGAUGUGACGUACGAGUCAACAGUUGAUACAUCCUCAUUCGACGAAGAAAACAGGAUUCAAUACACUGAAGGACGUGUCAAAGAAACAGUGCUUAAAAAGAAAGUUGUGAAUGUAAACAUCAAAGAACUUGAUAUGAAGGCUGCUCGUGCUGAGCGUGAGGAGAUUAAAAGGCUCAAAGCGGAAGCACAAGAAAGAGGAGAGGAGUACAAAAUCGGGAAGAUGCGACGGAACAAAGAAAUGGACGAGUACGAUCUGCUGCAGUGGCGUCGCUCUUACGAAGAAAGGGAAGCUCUCCUCAGAGACAUAUGCUGCCGGAAGGCCCUGGGCCUCCCCAUUGAGGAGCCGGGGCGGUACGACGUGGACGAGACCAUUGUGUACGGGAAGGACUACUACGACCCGUCGAAGCCGAUGUACCGGUACGACUACUGGGGCGAGCCACGCAACACGGAGAAGGUGAAGCUGGAGCGGGACGUGGAGCGGCACAACCAGCAGAUCAUCGGGGACGCCAAGAAGUGGUGCGAGACGUCAUACGAGGACUACGUCCGGAAGAAGACGCUGCGGGAGGCCGCCGAGGCCCGGGAGCGGCGGCGGAGGGCGUCGGAGCCGCAGGAGGAGGAGGAGGAGUACGACGACGACAUGGACCUCGACUUCGAGAAGAUGACCGACCCCCGCGCCCCGCACAACCGGUUCUACAUCACGAAAUGA
Molecule: ribosomal RNA, 1959 nt
Filed under: Triticum aestivum (bread wheat)
Lineage: Eukaryota; Viridiplantae; Streptophyta; Magnoliopsida; Poales; Poaceae
Description: partial small subunit ribosomal RNA
Source: RNAcentral